Molecule: ribosomal RNA, 171 nt
Filed under: Parazen pacificus (parazen)
Lineage: Eukaryota; Metazoa; Chordata; Actinopteri; Zeiformes; Parazenidae
Description: partial 12S ribosomal RNA
Source: RNAcentral
CACCGCGGUUAUACGAGAGGCCCAAGUUGAUAGCCUAACGGCGUAAAGCGUGGUUAGAGAAAUUAAAAUACUGGAAUCAAACACUCCCAAAGCUGUUAUAAGCAUAUGAGAAUACGAAGCCCACCCACUAAAGUGAUUCCACCAAUCCCCGACCCCACGAAAGCUACAAAA